RNAcentral lists this long non-coding RNA (2628 nucleotides) under Panax ginseng (ginseng). Its description in RNAcentral is "long non-coding RNA (PGIN_LNC004425)". The record is from RNAcentral. Lineage: Eukaryota; Viridiplantae; Streptophyta; Magnoliopsida; Apiales; Araliaceae.
AUCUAUCAAAAAAAAUCAAAUCAGUUUAUAUCCCAAAUCAGUUUCAAGUUUUUACGUAUAUAUCUGCAAAAGCGGUGGAUAACCAAAUCGGUUUCUUCCUUAACCAAUUUCAUGGAAGUUUUAUGCUUUAUCUUAGCAAGCGUUACGCUUAUAUAAGAGACAUCUAGCCAAAGUUUUCAUCGGAACGAAGGAUUUAGUCGGAGCAAUCACCGGAACGAAGGAUCUAACCGGAGAUUUAACCAGAACGAAUGAGAUCAACAAGAGCUUUUAUCAUAACGAAGAUAAGAAGAAAGACAAAUAAGGUAAUUUCUUUGAAUUUGUGAUGGUACUCUUGUAAUAAAUAGCUCAGAUGUUCCUCUCUCCGAUCCAGACUUGAUUCUAUCUCUUACCAAAGUAGAGGCUUACAUAGAACUAAUUUUUUACCAAACAAACAUUUGGGUCUAUACAAAGCAGAAGCAGUGAUUUUCAGAUAUAUUCAGAGGUAAUAAAACAUUACCUCACUCGAGAUGGGCUAGUUUUUAAUUCAACUAUAUUCGAGGCAAAUUUAAUUCAACCGUCUUAAACUAAAAAAUGCAUGCUUUUUUAAAAAAUUUAGUAUGAAAAAAAUGUGGGAAAUUAAAAAAAAAACAGUAUCCUCAACGGUCUGGAUCUUAAGCUCACCCUUUAUUUAGCUCACCUUGUUCACCUCCCUUUAGCGACGGACCGGGCGACGAUUCGGUCCGUCACUAUAUAUAGAACCGUCGUCUUAACUUUUAGCGACGGACAACACAUAAACGACGGUUCUAUAUAUAGCGACUGAUCGAAUUGUCGCUCGGUCCAUCGCUAAAGGGGGUGAGCAAGGUGAAUUAGAUAAGGCUAGGGGUGAGUUUAAGAUCCGGACCGGUAUCUUCAAAUUUAAUAUCAUAAUUUAUUAUUAUUAGCAAUAUUUAUCUUUAAAUAUGUGAUUGAUAACACUAUGCAUCAAAAUAAUUAUUUCUCACCGCACUUGCUCCAAUUUAAUGUAUUUAUUGUGCUUAUUAUAGUUAAUAUAUAAAUGGAGGUGAAUGAUAAUUAAUAAAAUGAAGUGACACAAAAUGUUUAGUUAAUAUUUGGAAUUAAUAUUUAAACAUAAAGACUUUUUAUCAAUCCUCUAAUAUUGGUCUAAUUUAUGUGAAUGUCCUAAUAUCGAUUUAGUAAUUUUUACAAUUUACUUUAAGUUAUAAGUCCAUAUUUUUCAAAUACCUUCACAACUUAUUUAAUUUGCAAGUCAAAUUGGUAUUAAAUAUUUUUACUUAUAAAUCAUCAUUUAAAAAUUUAACUUAUAACUCAGUUAAAUUAAAUUAUUAUCAUACACUCCUUCAUUCUAGAAAAUUAUUAAAUUCACAACAGAAAAUAUUAGUUCUACAACAAAAGUGUCGUUACAGAUCAUUUAGCGACGGUUUUCACCAUCGCUAUACAUCUACAGUGACAUUUUUGUUGUGAAAAUAACAAAAAGUAUUGUGGAUUUAACAACUCCCACAUUUUAUUACUGAGUUUAAAAAUGGACGAAAAAUAAAAAAAAAUGGAUGAAAAAUUUAAGUUUUCUACCCAAUUCCUUUGAUACUGAGGUUUUUAAUAAAUGAAGAAGUAAAGAAAUUGAAGAAAAACUUGACUACUUUUUUUGUCAAACUUUUUUCGUCUAAAAAUGAACUGAUUUUGACAAAAAAUUAUAUAACAUAAGAUCAUUUUUAUGAUCCUUAUUAUACCCUCUGAAUUAUAAACAUAAUAAAGAUAAUUUAGUAAUUUAAAUAUAAAACUUUAGUUUUCUUUUCUUUUCCUAUAUAAACUCAGUAAUAACAUAAAAAAACACAUACAACUUUUUUUUUUCAUUAUAAAUUAAAUUUUCAUUAUUUUCCUUUUCGUCCCAAACUCGAAAAACAGUGUUAGUUCUUGGAUUCAUUCAAAUUCUUUUUUUAUAUUGUUCAACGGUAAAUUAUUGUACUGAAUCAGUCCGAACCGUACCUGUUGGGCGUGAAUAUUUAGGCCCGGAUGAUACGGUGGGUCGUAGUCCACGUGGAAGAAUUUUACCCUGUGUAAGAAUUUGUUUUGGCAGUUGAGUAUUUUAAGGAAUUAAAGAUUCCUAAUUACAUUUGAUUUUCAACUCCUAAGGAAAGAUUCAAGAUACAAUCUGAUUUCCUUUCCUUAAAAAGAUUGACUAUAAUCCCAUUAAGGUAUUUUAUAUAAUGAGGAUUCAUAUUCCAAUACGGGGAAUGACUUGGAGAAUGUGGUGUAAUCACUAUAAAUACACGACUACACCCUCAUUAUGAAAUAUAACUUUAUUUUACAGCACUAGAGUAUUAUGCCUCCAUUGUUAAACUUUAUUCAGUCUGUACUUAUUAUCACACCGAAGCUAUCUCCCGGCCGUCAAGUUUCUCUGUAUGACUUCGUUUUUGUGCAGGAUUGGACGCGCUAUUGAUGAUUGAGGCGCGUUGACAAAUCUUGGCGUUAACAAUAUCGAUUACUGAAUUCACAAAAAAAUAGGUAUUAAUACUGAUUAUACCGGUAUCCAGUACUGUUAGCCCGGUUCGGUAUCACGACAGUACCAGUUUUUACCUAUUCUUGUACCGAUCAGUUGAGAGUGAUCGGAGAGGCAGCGAGCAAAAAAUUAAG